AGCAGCCGCGGUAAUUCCAGCUCCAAUAGCGUAUAUUAAAGUUGUUGCAGUUAAAAAGCUCGUAGUUGAAUUUCGGGGUUAGUACGCUGGUCAUGCCUUCGGUAUGUACUGGUGUUACCGAUUCCUACCUUCUGAAGAACCGUCAUGUCAUUAGUUUGGUGUGGCGGGGAAUCAGGACUGUUACUUUGAAAAAUUAGAGUGUUUAAAGCAGGCUCGCGCUUGAAUACAUUAGCAUGGAAUAAUGAAAUAGGACGUUCGAUCCUAUUUUGUGGUUUCUAGGAUUGACGUAAUGAUUAAUAGGGAUAGUUGGGGGCAUUAGUAUUCAAUUGUCAGAGGUGAAAUUCUUGGAUUUAUUGAAGACUAACUACUGCGAAAGCAAUUUGCCAAGGAUGUUUUCAUUAAUCAAGAACGAAAGUUAGGGGAUCGAAGACGAUCAGAUACCGUCGUAGU
RNAcentral lists this ribosomal RNA (450 nucleotides) under uncultured Glomeromycotina. RNAcentral describes it as "SSU rRNA". It matches the Rfam family "Eukaryotic small subunit ribosomal RNA", at positions 569 to 1024 of the family's 1831-position model. The record is from RNAcentral. Lineage: Eukaryota; Fungi; Glomeromycota.